CCUACGGGAGGCUGCAGUGAGGAAUAUUGGUCAAUGGACGAGAGUCUGAACCAGCCAAGUAGCGUGAAGGAUGACUGCCCUAUGGGUUGUAAACUUCUUUUAUAUGGGAAUAAAAUGUUCCACGUGUGGGAUUUUGUAUGUACCAUAUGAAUAAGGAUCGGCUAACUCCGUGCCAGCAGCCGCGGUAAUACGGAGGAUCCGAGCGUUAUCCGGAGUUAUUGGGUUUAAAGGGAGCGUAGGUGGAUUGUUAAGUCAGUUGUGAAAGUUUGCGGCUCAACCGUAAAAUUGCAGUUGAAACUGGCAGUCUUGAGUACAGUAGAGGUGGGCGGAACUCGUGGUGUAGCGGUGAAAUGCUUAGAUAUCACGAAGAACUCCGAUUGCGAAGGCAGUUCACUGGACUGCAACUGACACUGAGGCUCGAAAGUGUGGGUAUCAAACAGGAUUAGAUACCCGAGUAGUC
Molecule: ribosomal RNA, 460 nt
Filed under: uncultured bacterium
Lineage: Bacteria
Description: partial 16S ribosomal RNA
Rfam family: Bacterial small subunit ribosomal RNA
Source: RNAcentral